Molecule: ribosomal RNA, 534 nt
Filed under: uncultured bacterium
Lineage: Bacteria
Description: partial 16S ribosomal RNA
Rfam family: Bacterial small subunit ribosomal RNA
Source: RNAcentral
UGGGGAAUAUUGCACAAUGGGCGCAAGCCUGAUGCAGCCAUGCCGCGUGUGUGAAGAAGGCCUCGGGUUGUAAAGCACUUUCAGCGAGGAGGAAGGUGGUGAACUUAAUACGUUCAUCAAUUGACGUUACUCGCAGAAGAAGCACCGGCUAACUCCGUGCCAGCAGCCGCGGUAAUACGGAGGGUGCAAGCGUUAAUCGGAAUUACUGGGCGUAAAGCGCACGCAGGCGGUUUGUUAAGUCAGAUGUGAAAUCCCCCGGGGCUCAACCUUGGAACUGCAUUUGAAACUGGCAAGCUAGAGUCUCGUAGAGGGGGGUAGAAUUCCAGGUGUAGCGGUGAAAUGCGUAGAGAUCUGGAGGAAUACCGGUGGCGAAGGCGGCCCCCUGGACGAAGACUGACGCUCAGGUGCGAAAAGGCGUGGGGAGCAAAACAGGAUUAGAUACCCUGGUAGUCCACGCUGUAAAACGAUGUCGAUUUUGGAGGUUGUGCCCCUUGAGGCGUGGNUUCCGGAGCUAACGCGUUAAAUCGACCGCCU